AACCUCCCAUGUCCCCUCGCGACGCCGCCUUCCCCGCUCGCGACACCACCUUCUCCGCACGCCGCGAGCGCGCCCUUCCCCCUGAUCGCCGGCACCACCGCGAGCACCUGGGUCCUCGCCGACGCCGUCGCGCCCGCCCCCGCGACCCCGCCUCCACCGACCCGCUCGAACCCGACGGCCUCCACUGAUCGCCGCGCGGGCGUAGCAGUCCGAUCGCGAAUCCGAGGCCACUCCAACCGCAACGGUGCACAGGGGCAACAGGAUCGCAGCGAGAGGACCCCCACGACCCUGACCUCCGAUCGCCCUCCUCCUCCGCCGCCGCCGGUGAGCCGAGCCCGCCGAGUCCAGACCGCCGCCUCCAUCCGCGUCACCGACUGCCGAGCCGCCGAGCCUUCUCUCCGUCGCCCCUCCGCAGUCGCCGACGCCCCUCCUUCCCGCUCGCUGCUCCGACACGCCUUCCACAGCCUCCCCACCGAUCUGCCCCAUCGCCGCCGCCCCUCCCCGCCCCAUGGACGCCCCUCCCUCCGCUACACCUCCUCCAAUACACCAGAUCGCUGACCUCGGACUUGCAGCCUGCGUCCGCUGCAGCCUCAACGCCACCGAGGCCAAGCGCUCCCGCAUCGCCGUCCUGAUCUUCUUGGUGACAUCGCAGGGCGGGACGCGGAACUGGAGCCCAACUUUUCUGCUGCAUCUCCGUCGAGGGCGCCAUCACCAGGCACUAUGCAUACUCCAUCCGUAAUGCCCGCACGUCCAUAUCCCUGGGCCCUCAACCUACUAUCAUAUCUUUCUGGUAAGUAGACAUCCGGAGCAGGCUGGAGUCCGGAUCCAUGGCCGAGAUGGCGCUGAGGAUAGGAAUGGCCGGCGAACACUGGAGGUGCAGGGCUCAGGCUUGGGGCUCGCGGCUACGGCUUCUCGGCGUCAGUGGCGGCAUGAGCUGGAGCUGGGGGCGCUACCAGUUCUGCUCUUUUUCUGAAAGGUCAGACGAAAUCAGCGAGAACCUCCCACUUCUCUCUCGAUCGAUUAUUGCCAGCACCACUAAAUCGAGCAACGGCAACCGCACCCCUCCCUGCCUCAGAUGCAAAUCGAAGCAGCAGGCAGCAGCAACACGUUUCAUUCCGCUGCUUCUACUCCUAGUGGUUUUUUUUCUUUUCUUUUGUCAAGGUUGUUUGUUAGGUGUACCUAUCAACUAUAUUGAUCAUUGUCAGAGACCUAUACUUUAUGUCCAAUUUUUGCUAAUGCUUGUCUGUGAUGAAUCAAGCAGUGUCGUGAUGUUGCUGUUAUCAAGAUUAGGAACCUGUCAUUUUUUCUUCUGAAAAUAUCUGUAUCUGAAAUUUCUUCCUCCCCUUUGUGCUUAUAAUUCAUGUGUCUCAUGUUUAGAAUGUGGAUAGAGGGGAUGAGAGUAUCAUUAACAAUGAAAUUGUAGAACGGUUUGUCUUA
Panicum hallii is the source of this 1437-nucleotide long non-coding RNA. RefSeq lists it as uncharacterized. The transcript has 3 exons. NCBI's taxonomy places the organism in Eukaryota, Viridiplantae, Streptophyta, Magnoliopsida, Poales, Poaceae. The record is from RefSeq and is a predicted model, not a curated record.